Molecule: small nuclear RNA, 105 nt
Filed under: Castor canadensis (American beaver)
Lineage: Eukaryota; Metazoa; Chordata; Mammalia; Rodentia; Castoridae
Source: RNAcentral
GUGCUCACUUUGUCAGCACAUAUGCUAAAACUAAAAUGAUACAAAAGAUUAGCAUGCUCCCUACUCAAGGAUGACAGGCAAAUUCAUGAUUUUUGUGGAAUCUAG